RNAcentral lists this long non-coding RNA (721 nucleotides) under Numida meleagris (helmeted guineafowl). RNAcentral's name for it is "lncRNA (ENSNMEG00000010551.1)". Lineage: Eukaryota; Metazoa; Chordata; Aves; Galliformes; Numididae. The record is from RNAcentral.
GCUGUUAGUGUCAAAUUCUUGUGUAAUAUUUUUUACAUGUGCUUAUGUGCCAUGUGCUGUCUGUAUGUUGUAUUAUACUUCAUCAUACUGCAGCUAUGAUUUUUUUGUUAGGCAAUCUUAUAAACCUGCUACCUGUGCUGAAUCUUAGAACUUAAAGGUUCGGACUAUGUGGGGAAGUGAAAAGAUCUACGAAAUGCAUUGUCUUUCUGAGGCGAAAAUCUAGAAUUAAUUCUUCUGGCCUCUGUGAAUACCCUGGUUCAGAUUCUGGAGUAUUCAGAACCGUAAUCUGCAUUCCUUUUCAAUCAGUUGUAGUCUUGGUGAUGAUCAGAAGCAGCUGACUAGGAAGUACUGUGGGUUUUUUGGAAACAGCAGCUGUAGUGGAAAUGCUAAGUCACAGUCUGAAACAGUGAUUGAGAACCUGGUGGGAAGGCAGAGCCAAUGCAGGGGAGCUCAGGUGCAAGCAAUGCACCUGAGUGACUGGAAAGGGUGGAGUGAGGAUCCACCCUUCCCAGACCUCAUUUAAGGGUUGGCAGUGGAGGUGAGAAUAUAGCUUGCUGGAGCUCUGCCUACCUGAGGUCUUCCAAAGGUAAGCAGCUUUUUUUUUUUCCUUUCAUUUCCGCAUUUGUGGCUGCUGCAUUUGGGUUCAUUCUCACUUGCUGUAGCCAAAGACUGCUGUUAUCAUCCCAUUAUAGCCUUACAGCAGCUCAGAAGGAGCCAUUCU